This 520-nucleotide unclassified non-coding RNA is filed under the name uncultured Glomus. Its description in RNAcentral is "SSU rRNA". It matches the Rfam family "Eukaryotic small subunit ribosomal RNA", at positions 569 to 1090 of the family's 1831-position model. Lineage: Eukaryota; Fungi; Glomeromycota; Glomeromycetes; Glomerales; Glomeraceae. The record is from RNAcentral.
AGCAGCCGCGGUAAUUCCAGCUCCAAUAGCGUAUAUUAAAGUUGUUGCAGUUAAAAAGCUCGUAGUUGAAUUUCGGGGUUAGCAGGUCGGUCGUGCCAUCGGUAUGAACUGGUCUCGCUGAUCCCUCCCUCUUGACGAACUGUGAUGCCAUUAAUUUGGUGUCGCAGGGAAUCAGGACUGUUACUUUGAAAAAAUUAGAGUGUUUAAAGCAGGCUCACGCUUGAAUACAUUAGCAUGGAAUAAUGAAAUAGGACGUUUGAUCCUAUUUUGUUGGCUUCUAGGAUUGACGUAAUGAUUAAUAGGGAUAGUUGGGGGCAUUAGUAUUCAAUUGUCAGAGGUGAAAUUCUUGGAUUUAUUGAAGACUAACUACUGCGAAAGCAUUUGCCAAGGAUGUUUUCAUUAAUCAAGAACGAAAGUUAGGGGAUCGAAGACGAUCAGAUACCGUCGUAGUCUUAACCAUAAACUAUGCCGACUAGGGAUCGGAUGAUGUUAAUUUUUUAAUGACUCCGCCGGCACCUUA